Molecule: long non-coding RNA, 2070 nt
Organism: Xiphophorus hellerii (green swordtail)
Lineage: Eukaryota; Metazoa; Chordata; Actinopteri; Cyprinodontiformes; Poeciliidae
Exons: 4
Source: RefSeq, a predicted model, not a curated record
GAGAUUGUUUUCCUUCAUUGAGACAAAUGGUUAUGUUUUUCUGACAAACUUCGACAUAUACAAGGAAACUAUCAAGAUAUAUUUUGAUGUGCAAAACAGGUCAGAUUUUAUGUGCUCUUCUUGGUUGUAUACAUGUACAUGUCUUAAGAGUGAUUUAAAACGUAUUCGUAAGAAAAUUGAGCAUUUGUGUAAAUAAUCAGUUUUCCAGAAGAUGAAAAAUAAAAGUCACCAAAAAGCCACCAUCCAUCAUAAGGACAUUUGCUUUAUUGCUUGGCUUGUUUUGCUUUGUGUCUGUCUCACUAACGUUAUAUGUAUUAGAGGCACAUUAUGCCAUCACAGAACAUAUAAAUGACUCCUCACACUGUGAAUUUCUUUUCACAACACAGCUCUCCAGCUGCUGCCACCAUGACUCUCAGAUCUCUGUUGGUCUUUGCUUUAUUCCUGCAGUUUGUUUACCCGCCUCACCAGCUAUGAAGCUAAAUGCAUAGCAAUAUAAUAGGAAAUGAAAAUAUUCAUAAUUGUUGAGAUGUCCCUUUUUUUUGUACUGGUUGUUACUUUCAUUGUCUGUCUGUCUGUGUGUCCUUCUGUCUGUCUGUCUGUCUGUUCUAAGAAAUGAGAGGAAUCUUUCUUGCAGGACUUUUAGGCUGGCCUGCUCUGAACCUGUGAGUGAUCUGGUGAACCAGCUGAAGGCUUGGAGCACAAAGAAGUGUCGAGACGGUCCGGAGAAGUGCAUGUAUAAGAUAAUGAGCGAGUCCCCAGAAGAGCUUGAAGUAGAGCACACCUCCCCUAAGUCAGGCAAAAUUACAGAAAUUAACUUCGUUUUUGGCCCACUUGCUGCAAAAUCCUUCUGCAAAAUUAAAGCUAUUUCUACCACAAAAUCAAAGAACGGAACCGAUCCCAAUGACUAUUGCCUCCUCUACAAUCUAAUUGAUGCAAGCGGGCUGACCCAGGCAGAAGGCUACAAAGAAAUUUGCAAUAAGGAGAAGCGUCCCUCGAUGUCAUCAGCAGACUGUGACAAAGAUAAAGACUUUUAUGUGUGAAUGAUUUCCCUAAAGGCUAAUUUUUUUACUUGCUUAUAAAAUUUUGUGCCUCUAUUGCAUCAAGGUUCACAAUCAGUUCACAAUUAGUCUUUCUGUACUGUCUCGCUCUUCUUGUUGAAAAAUUAUUGUAGAGAUUUAAUUUUAUGGUGAUUACUGUUAAUUUGUUUUUCCUUUUUCUUCAUCUCAGUUUGUGCAAAUAAACUAUGCAUUAAAGAAUAAUUCAACAUUUUUGAAGCGGGGCUCGAUCAGUCGAACUUUAUUAGUAGAGCGUUUUCAAACAGAUUACAUGAAAAGUUGAAUAAGAUUAUUUUAUAAGAUUAAGAUAGGAAAAAGUUCUAAACACAAAGAGAAGUGAAAAUAUAAGAUCCAAAUAUUUGAUAUUUGAUCAAAUCUAAAGUAAACACACAAAAGUUGUUUAGAUCCAGUUUGAGAACGAAAUAUCCAAUUGAACUUAAAUUUGAAGAUAUCUGGAGACCUACUGUAUGUGGCAGUAAAAAAAAAUUUUUAACCUUAUAGCAAGUUUUCUUUUCAAUUCACCAUGUGUGCACAAAACUCAGAGAUGUUUCUCUGCUAUAUAAAUAAAAUGCUUUGUUACAUUUUAAUUUACUCCACACUGUGGAGAGGGUUUGUUCAGCCCGACUAAAAAAAGAGUGUUGAACUUGAAUGUUUGUGUGAGAGCCUCACAUCCAGUCAGAUUUAUUUUGCACCUCUUUUAUUUACAACACAAAUAAUCUUCUUUAUCCAUGGAGUCGAUCAAAAAAAGAAAGAAAAUGUCCAAAACAGACAGCAAAUAGCCUGGCUUGUACACUAUAUACAUAUAAUGCAAUAAUGUUAACAUCUUAUACAGUUUGUCUGUGAGAAUAAACUUCACAUAUCUGCAUAAAGCAUCUAGAGUGCAGAGAUUGCUCCUUGUCUUUUCUUCUUUACCCUCUGUGGUGUACUGACUGCUGUCCAAUCAGUCCCCUCUGCUUCCUUUAAUGUCACUCCAAAUUAGCCCUAAUGCUUAGCAGCAAGUGUCAAGACAGACUUG